RNAcentral lists this ribosomal RNA (253 nucleotides) under uncultured bacterium. Its description in RNAcentral is "partial 16S ribosomal RNA". It matches the Rfam family "Bacterial small subunit ribosomal RNA", at positions 524 to 776 of the family's 1533-position model. The record is from RNAcentral.
UACGAAGGUCCCAAGCGUUAUCCGGAUUUAUUGGGUUUAAAGGGUGCGUAGGCGGGUUGUUAAGUCAGUGGUGAAAGCCUACAGCUUAACUGUAGAAUUGCCAUUGAUACUGACGAUCUUGAGUGUGGUUGAGGUGGGCGGAAUGUAUCAUGAAGCGGUGAAAUGCUUAGAUAUGAUACAGAACACCGAUUGCGAAGGCAGCUCACUAAGCCACUACUGACGCUGAGGCACGAAGGCGUGGGGAGCAAACAGG